GUUUGAUCCUGGCUCAGCCUGAACGCUGGCGGCAGGCUUAACACAUGCAAGUCGAGCGGGCGUAGCAAUACGUCAGCGGCAGACGGGUGAGUAACGCGUGGGAACGUACCUUUUGGUUCGGAACAACACAGGGAAACUUGUGCUAAUACCGGAUACGGCCGAGAGGCGAAAGAUUUAUCGCCGGAGGAUUGGCCCGCGUUCGAUUAGCUUGUUGGUGAGGUAACGGCUCACCAAGGCGAUGAUCGAUAGCUGGUCUGAGAGGAUGAUCAGUCACAUUGGGACUGAGACACGGCCCAAACUCCUACGGGAGGCAGCAGUGGGGAAUAUUGGACAAUGGGCGCAAGCCUGAUCCAGCCAUGCCGCGUGAGUGAUGAAGGCCUUCGGGUUGUAAAACUCUUUUGGCGGGGACGAUAAUGACGGUACCCGCAGAAUAAGCUCCGGCUAACUUCGUGCCAGCAGCCGCGGUAAU
RNAcentral lists this ribosomal RNA (469 nucleotides) under uncultured bacterium. RNAcentral's name for it is "bacterial SSU rRNA". It matches the Rfam family "Bacterial small subunit ribosomal RNA", at positions 11 to 524 of the family's 1533-position model. The record is from RNAcentral.